AGAGAUGCUGUGGCGUCCACAGGGGCCGGGAGUCAGGGUUCAGCCCGAGUGGGAGACGGGGAAGGAGAGUUCUGGGAACCUUCCCUGUAUACUGUCAAAGCCAUCCUGAUUCUGGACAAUGAUGGAGAUCGACUUUUUGCCAAGUACUAUGACGACACCUACCCCAGUGUCAAGGAGCAAAAGGCCUUUGAGAAGAACAUUUUCAACAAGACCCAUCGGACUGACACUGAUGCUUAUGGCUGUUCUGAACUGUCUCUUCGACUCAUUGAGCCAGAUGCUGAGGAAAAAUGUAGAAAAGCGAGCACUGCUGGAGAACAUGGAGGGGCUGUUCUUGGCUGUGGAUGAAAUUGUAGAUGGAGGGGUGAUCCUAGAGAGUGAUCCCCAGCAGGUGGUACACCGGGUGGCAUUAAGGGGUGAAGAUGUCCCCCUUACGGAGCAGACCGUGUCUCAGGUGCUGCAGUCAGCCAAAGAACAGAUCAAGUGGUCACUCCUUCGGUGAAGACCUCACUGUUCCUGGCUCUUCAUCCUCUUCAAAAAAUUUGCAUGUCUGCUGU
This 554-nucleotide small RNA is filed under the name Pongo abelii (Sumatran orangutan). RNAcentral's name for it is "processed transcript". The record is from RNAcentral. Lineage: Eukaryota; Metazoa; Chordata; Mammalia; Primates; Hominidae.